GCGCGAAAACUUUACAAUGCGGGGAACCGCGAUAAGGGGACACCGAGUGCCAGCAUCCUAUGUUGGCUGUCCAUAUGUCUAAAUCACAUGUGUUAGCAAGGGCCGGGCAAGACCGGUGCCAGCCGCGGCGGUAACACCGGCGGCCCGAGUGGUGGCCACUAUUAUUGGGUCUAAAGGGUCCGUAGCCGGUUUGGUCAGUCUUCCGGGAAAUCUGACGGCUUAACCGUUAGGCUUUCGGGGGAUACUACCAGGCUUGGGACCGGGAGAGGUAAGAGGUACUACGGGGGUAGGAGUGAAAUCUUGUAAUCCCUGUGGGACCACCAGUGGCGAAGGCGUCUUACCAGAACGGGUCCGACGGUGAGGGACGAAAGCUGGGGGCACGAACCGG
RNAcentral lists this ribosomal RNA (388 nucleotides) under uncultured bacterium. RNAcentral's name for it is "bacterial SSU rRNA". It matches the Rfam family "Archaeal small subunit ribosomal RNA", at positions 339 to 727 of the family's 1478-position model. The record is from RNAcentral.